RNAcentral lists this ribosomal RNA (253 nucleotides) under uncultured bacterium. RNAcentral describes it as "partial 16S ribosomal RNA". It matches the Rfam family "Bacterial small subunit ribosomal RNA", at positions 524 to 776 of the family's 1533-position model. The record is from RNAcentral.
UACGUAGGGUGCAAGCGUUAUCCGGAAUUAUUGGGCAUAAAGCGCACGUAGGCGGUCGCGUAAGUCGGGUGUGAAAGCCCAGGGCUUAACCCUGGAAGUGCAUUCGAAACUGCGCAGCUUGAGUACGGAAGAGGGUCUCGGAAUUCCCGGUGUAGAGGUGAAAUUCGUAGAUAUCGGGAGGAACACCAGUGGCGAAGGCGGCGACCUGGUUCGAUACUGACGCUGAGGUGCGAAAGCGUGGGGAGCAAACAGG